CUAGGAUGAACGCUGGCGGCGUGCUUAACACAUGCAAGUCGAACGAAGCAGCUUUCUUGCUGCAAGAAAGUUGACUUAGUGGCGGACGGGUGAGUAACGCGUGGGUAACCUGCCUCAUACAGGGGGAUAACAGUUGGAAACGACUGCUAAGACCGCAUAACCCGCUAGUGUCGCAUGACACGGACGGAAAAUAUUUAUAGGUAUGAGAUGGGCCCGCGUCUGAUUAGCUAGUUGGUAAGGUAACGGCUUACCAAGGCGACGAUCAGUAGCCGACUUGAGAGAGUGAUCGGCCACAUUGGGACUGAGACACGGCCCAAACUCCUACGGGAGGCAGCAGUGGGGAAUAUUGGACAAUGGGGGAAACCCUGAUCCAGCGAACCGCCGCGUGAGUGAAGAAGUAUUUCGGUAUGUAAAGCUCUAUCAGCAGGGAAGAUAAUGACAGUACCUGACUAAGAAGCCCCGGCUAACUACGUGCCAGCCGCAGC
This 485-nucleotide ribosomal RNA is filed under the name uncultured bacterium. RNAcentral describes it as "bacterial SSU rRNA". It matches the Rfam family "Bacterial small subunit ribosomal RNA", at positions 26 to 518 of the family's 1533-position model. The record is from RNAcentral.